RNAcentral lists this long non-coding RNA (1335 nucleotides) under Heterocephalus glaber (naked mole-rat). Its description in RNAcentral is "lncRNA (ENSHGLG00000032640.1)". The record is from RNAcentral. Lineage: Eukaryota; Metazoa; Chordata; Mammalia; Rodentia; Bathyergidae.
CCGUUCCCCUCCGCCUCUCGACUCCGACUGGGAGGGGCCGCCUGCGCAACCCCCCUCCCCAGCCUCCUGCAGAACCAAGGGACCCCCAGCGAGCUGCAAAUUCUAGUCUCCAGCCUCCCGGGUAAACCGAGCACCGCGCCAGUUCGCAGCUGCUGGCCGGGCGCUCCCUAAGGAGAUCUGCGCCCUCCCGGUCCCCCGCCGCCGCCGCCCGACUGUCGGCUCCUGGGACCCGCUUUAGCUUCUCCGCUGCCCCUUCGCCUCUGCCCUCUCAGGACACCCGCCCCGUUCCGACCUCUUCUCCCCUGGUGUUGUGCACGUUCUCCCAGAUUCGAGCACCGGCUCCCGCCUCAGCCCCUCACCCCACUGCGGCAGCCUGCAACCUGACAAGUCGGUGGGGGCUGCGCAGCAGCCUGGCACGCCCCCGCCCGCUGGUGGGGCUCAUCGCAAACACCUGCCAGAGCUCGACCGCGCCGGUAGCCGGGAGUCCCAGCAUCAUGUUUGAUCCUGCCCUCGCCCCGGCGCUGCACCGAAACCUUGCCAGUGGCCUUCAAGGGACUCCAUCCAGUGCGUCCUCGCACCUCGAGUGCCCGCGCCGCCGCCUCCCAGGAUUCCCUCCCAGCCAAUGUCCCUCUGACGGUUUUCGCGCCCCUCCUUGACCCUGCUAAACUCAGCUGCCAGGGACCAUCCCCGAGUGAAGGCAGGUGCUCGCGGGGUGCCGGUCCCUGGAGCGGGUGCUGUCCAGGGUGCACGAGGCGCGUCGCCGGUGCGGUGCCCUAGUGGGCCAGAGCAAACCCAGGGCUCCGGAGCGGGGGCGUUUUCGCUAAUCGCCGAACCGCUCCCCUCCGGGUUCCCGCGGAAGGCCAGGGAAGAGCACUGGCCAGAUUGUUGUGGACUCGGGUUCCGGGGCAACGCGCAACGCGGGUCUGGACGCCAGGGAUGGGGUUGAGGCGCUCCAGAGAAGACGCCUCCGAACUCAAGUAGGUGGGCUGGGUCCCCAGGGUUCUGGGUAGACUGGGACUUGGGGGAGGAAAAAAAGAAAGCCAGAGGAAUCCUGCCAAUUCCUGCACGUGGACCCAGGGGCCAAACUCCCAGACACCCCGGGCGAUUCCCAGUUGCGAUCACCCCCCACCCCACGUACUAACUCAGAUUCGGUGUAUGGGGGUGGAAAGAAAGAGGAGUCUAAGGCAAACAGCCGGUUAUCACCCUAGGUCCUAAGGCAAAAUUUUUCAUUGUUAUAUAUUUUUAAAAAUUUGAAAUGAUAUAUUGAAUUUUUUUGUUAUUAGAAUUCAAUCAGCUUUUUCUAAAUUCUGGAAUAAAUUCUAAGUUAACUGUAGU